UAAAGUCUGACCUGCCCUAUGAGUUAUUAAAUGGCUGCGGUAUUCUGUCCGUGCAAGGUAGCAUAGUAAUUAGUUUUUUAAUUGGGAACUGGUAUGAACGGUUUGACGAGAGAAAUACUGUCUCAAUUUAAUUUAAAUUAGAAUUUUAUUUUUAAGUAAAAAAGCUUAAAUUUUCUUAAAAGACGAGAAGACCCUAUAGAAUUUUAUAUUUUUAUGUGUAAUUGAAAGUUAAAGAAUCUAAGACCCGAUUAUAUGUAAGAAAUAUUAGGUUGGGGCAACUAAAAAAUUUAAUAAACUUUUUCUACAAUAAAAACAUUGAUAUAUGAUUAUAUGAUCCAUAAAUUAUGAUUAAAAGAUUAAAUUACCUUAGGGAUAACA
Molecule: ribosomal RNA, 378 nt
Filed under: Dichotomius nisus
Lineage: Eukaryota; Metazoa; Arthropoda; Insecta; Coleoptera; Scarabaeidae
Description: partial 16S ribosomal RNA
Source: RNAcentral